UUGACCUCGGAUCAGGUAGGGAUACCCGCUGAACUUAAGCAUAUCAAUAAGCGGAGGAAAAGAAACCAACCGGGAUUGCCUCAGUAACGGCGAGUGAAGCGGCAAGAGCUCAAAUUUGAAAGCUGGCCCCUUCGGGGUCCGCGUUGUAAUUUGCAGAGGAUGCUUCGGGUGCGGCCCCUGUCUAAGUGCCCUGGAACGGGCCGUCAGAGAGGGUGAGAAUCCCGUCUUGGGCAGGGUGCCCGUGCCCGUGUGAAGCUCCUUCGACGAGUCGAGUUGUUUGGGAAUGCAGCUCUAAAUGGGUGGUAAAUUUCAUCUAAAGCUAAAUACCGGCCGGAGACCGAUAGCGCACAAGUAGAGUGAUCGAAAGAUGAAAAGCACUUUGAAAAGAGAGUUAAACAGCACGUGAAAUUGUUGAAAGGGAAGCGCUUGCGACCAGACUCGGCCCCGGGGUUCAGCCAGCACUCGUGCUGGUGUACUUCCCCGGGGGCGGGCCAGCGUCGGUUUGGGCGGCCGGUCAAAGGCCCCAGGAAUGUAUCGCCCUCCGGGGUUGUCUUAUAGCCUGGGGUGCAAUGCGGCCAGCCCGGACCGAGGAACGCGCNNCGGCACGGACGCUGGCUAAUG
RNAcentral lists this ribosomal RNA (621 nucleotides) under Aspergillus nidulans. RNAcentral's name for it is "eukaryotic LSU rRNA". It matches the Rfam family "Eukaryotic large subunit ribosomal RNA", at positions 1 to 636 of the family's 3401-position model. The record is from RNAcentral. Lineage: Eukaryota; Fungi; Ascomycota; Eurotiomycetes; Eurotiales; Aspergillaceae.